This 364-nucleotide ribosomal RNA is filed under the name bacterium. RNAcentral's name for it is "bacterial SSU rRNA". It matches the Rfam family "Bacterial small subunit ribosomal RNA", at positions 555 to 917 of the family's 1533-position model. The record is from RNAcentral.
UGGGCGUAAGAGCUCGUAGGCGGUUUGUCGCGUCUGCUGUGAAAUCCCGAGGCUCAACCUCGGGCUUGCAGUGGGUACGGGCAGACUAGAGUGCGGUAGGGGAGAUUGGAAUUCCUGGUGUAGCGGUGGAAUGCGCAGAUAUCAGGAGGAACACCGAUGGCGAAGGCAGAUCUCUGGGCCGUAACUGACGCUGAGGAGCGAAAGCAUGGGGAGCGAACAGGAUUAGAUACCCUGGUAGUCCAUGCCGUAAACGUUGGGCGCUAGAUGUAGGGACCUUUCCACGGUUUCUGUGUCGUAGCUAACGCAUUAAGCGCCCCGCCUGGGGAGUACGGCCGCAAGGCUAAAACUCAAAGGAAUUGACGGA